This 949-nucleotide ribosomal RNA is filed under the name Lacticaseibacillus rhamnosus. RNAcentral's name for it is "bacterial SSU rRNA". It matches the Rfam family "Bacterial small subunit ribosomal RNA", at positions 54 to 971 of the family's 1533-position model. The record is from RNAcentral. Lineage: Bacteria; Bacillati; Bacillota; Bacilli; Lactobacillales; Lactobacillaceae.
CAUGCAGUCGACGAGUUCUGAUUAUUGAAAGGUGCUUGCAUCUUGAUUUAAUUUUGAACGAGUGGCGGACGGGUGAGUAACACGUGGGUAACCUGCCCUUAAGUGGGGGAUAACAUUUGGAAACAGAUGCUAAUACCGCAUAAAUCCAAGAACCGCAUGGUUCUUGGCUGAAAGAUGGCGUAAGCUAUCGCUUUUGGAUGGACCCGCGGCGUAUUAGCUAGUUGGUGAGGUAACGGCUCACCAAGGCAAUGAUACGUAGCCGAACUGAGAGGUUGAUCGGCCACAUUGGGACUGAGACACGGCCCAAACUCCUACGGGAGGCAGCAGUAGGGAAUCUUCCACAAUGGACGCAAGUCUGAUGGAGCAACGCCGCGUGAGUGAAGAAGGCUUUCGGGUCGUAAAACUCUGUUGUUGGAGAAGAAUGGUCGGCAGAGUAACUGUUGUCGGCGUGACGGUAUCCAACCAGAAAGCCACGGCUAACUACGUGCCAGCAGCCGCGGUAAUACGUAGGUGGCAAGCGUUAUCCGGAUUUAUUGGGCGUAAAGCGAGCGCAGGCGGUUUUUUAAGUCUGAUGUGAAAGCCCUCGGCUUAACCGAGGAAGUGCAUCGGAAACUGGGAAACUUGAGUGCAGAAGAGGACAGUGGAACUCCAUGUGUAGCGGUGAAAUGCGUAGAUAUAUGGAAGAACACCAGUGGCGAAGGCGGCUGUCUGGUCUGUAACUGACGCUGAGGCUCGAAAGCAUGGGUAGCGAACAGGAUUAGAUACCCUGGUAGUCCAUGCCGUAAACGAUGAAUGCUAGGUGUUGGAGGGUUUCCGCCCUUCAGUGCCGCAGCUAACGCAUUAAGCAUUCCGCCUGGGGAGUACGACCGCAAGGUUGAAACUCAAGGAAUUGACGGGGCCCGCACAAGCGGUGGAGCAUGUGGUUUAAUUCGAAGCAACGCGAGAACCU